Molecule: ribosomal RNA, 468 nt
Filed under: uncultured bacterium
Lineage: Bacteria
Description: partial 16S ribosomal RNA
Rfam family: Bacterial small subunit ribosomal RNA
Source: RNAcentral
GACGAACGCUGGCGGCGUGCUUAACACAUGCAAGUCGAACGGAAAGGCCCUGCUUUUGUGGGGUGCUCGAGUGGCGAACGGGUGAGUAACACGUGAGUAACCUGCCCUUGACUUUGGGAUAACUUCAGGAAACUGGGGCUAAUACCGGAUAGGAGCUCCUGCUGCAUGGUGGGGGUUGGAAAGUUUCGGCGGUUGGGGAUGGACUCGCGGCUUAUCAGCUUGUUGGUGGGGUAGUGGCUUACCAAGGCUUUGACGGGUAGCCGGCCUGAGAGGGUGACCGGCCCCAUUGGGACUGAGAUACGGCCCAGACUCCUACGGGCGGCAGCAGUGGGGAAUAUUGCACAAUGGGCGGAAGCCUGAUGCAGCAACGCCGCGUGCGGGAUGACGGCCUUCGGGUUGUAAACCGCUUUCGCCUGUGACGAAGCGUGAGUGACGGUAAUGUGUAAAGAAGCACCGGCUAACUACGUG